Molecule: ribosomal RNA, 863 nt
Filed under: uncultured archaeon
Lineage: Archaea
Description: bacterial SSU rRNA
Rfam family: Archaeal small subunit ribosomal RNA
Source: RNAcentral
UACCCGCUCCCCGAGUGGUCGGGACGUUUAUUGGGCCUAAAGCAUCCGUAGCCGGCCCGGUAGGUCCCUCGUUAAACUCAGCGGCUCAACCGCUGAGCCGCGGGGGAUACCGCCGGGCUAGGAGGCGGGAGAGGCGGACGGUACUCCGUGGGUAGGGGUAAAAUCCUCUGAUCCACGGAAGACCACCAGUGGCGAAGGCGGUCCGCCAGAACGCGCUCGACGGUGAGGGAUGAAAGCUGGGGGAGCGAACCGGAUUAGAUACCCGGGUAGUCCCAGCCGUAAACGAUGCGGGCUAGGUGCUGGGAUGGCUACGGGCCAUCCCAGUGCCGCAGGGAAGCCGUUAAGCCCGCCGCCUGGGGAGUACGGCCGCAAGGCUGAAACUUAAAGGAAUUGGCGGGGGAGCACCACAAGGGGUGAAGCCUGCGGUUUAAUUGGAGUCAACGCCGGGAACCUUACCGGGGGAGACAGCAGGAUGAAGGUCAAGCUAAAGACUUUACCAGACGAGCUGAGAGGAGGUGCAUGGCCGUCGCCAGCUCGUGCCGUGAGGUGUCCUGUUAAGUCAGGCAACGAGCGAGACCCCUGCCGCUAAUUGCUACCAUCACCCUUCGGGGUGGUGGGGCUAGUUAGCGGGACUGCCGUCGCUAAGACGGAGGAAGGAGGGGGCCACGGCAGGUCAGUAUGCCCCGAAACCCCCGGGCCACACGCGGGCUGCAAUGGUAGGGACAAUGGGAUCCGACCCCGAAAGGGGGAGGCAAUCCCCAAACCCUACCCCAGUUGUGACUGAGGGCUGCAACCCGCCCUCACGAAUCUGGAAUCCCUAGUAACCGCGUGUCAUCACCGCGCGGUGAAUACGUCCCUGCUCC